Molecule: ribosomal RNA, 761 nt
Filed under: Prevotella melaninogenica
Lineage: Bacteria; Pseudomonadati; Bacteroidota; Bacteroidia; Bacteroidales; Prevotellaceae
Description: bacterial SSU rRNA
Rfam family: Bacterial small subunit ribosomal RNA
Source: RNAcentral
GAUGAACGCUAGCUACAGGCUUAACACAUGCAAGUCGAGGGGAAACGGCAUUGAGUGCUUGCACUCUUUGGACGUCGACCGGCGCACGGGUGAGUAACGCGUAUCCAACCUUCCCAUUACUGUGGGAUAACCUGCCGAAAGGCAGACUAAUAUCGCAUAGUCUUCGAUGACGGCAUCAGAUUUGAAGUAAAGAUUUAUCGGUAAUGGAUGGGGAUGCGUCUGAUUAGCUUGUUGGCGGGGUAACGGCCCACCAAGGCGACGAUCAGUAGGGGUUCUGAGAGGAAGGUCCCCCACAUUGGAACUGAGACACGGUCCAAACUCCUACGGGAGGCAGCAGUGAGGAAUAUUGGUCAAUGGGCGAGAGCCUGAACCAGCCAAGUAGCGUGCAGGAUGACGGCCCUAUGGGUUGUAAACUGCUUUUGUAUGGGGAUAAAGUCAGUCACGUGUGAUUGUUUGCAGGUACCAUACGAAUAAGGACCGGCUAAUUCCGUGCCGGCAGCCGCGGUAAUACGGAAGGUCCAGGCGUUAUCCGGAUUUAUUGGGUUUAAAGGGAGCGUAGGCCGGAGAUUAAGUGUGUUGUGAAAUGUAGACGCUCAACGUCUGACUUGCAGCGCAUACUGGUUUCCUUGAGUACGCACAACGUUGGCGGAAUUCGUCGUGUAGCGGUGAAAUGCUUAGAUAUGACGAAGAACUCCGAUUGCGAAGGCAGCUGACGGGAGCGCAACUGACGCUUAAGCUCGAAGGUGCGGGUAUCAAACAGG